AUGGGUUCAUUUUCCUGUGGGAGUGCCUCCACGACCACGGGGCGGGCAGUGAGAAGAGCCCUCCCUUGCCUUCCGGCUCCUGCUGUGGACGACGCGGCGUCGGGGCCCUGCCAGAGCCAGCACUGUGGACUCUCAGCCUCCAGAGCUCUGCGGCCAAUCAACUUCCAGCUACAGAUACGCCAGCCUCCCAGGGCUGUCCCAGCAGCCCGGACGGCCGAGACCAAGGGUGCGCGCUCUGUUCUCAGCACGUCGUCUCCCUCGGGGCUUCCAAGACUCAGGCCCAGGGCACAGUCACUUCCUCCCAGACGUCUCAGUGGGUCAGACCAGCGGCUGACGGGAAGUGGUCAUGUGACUCAGUCUUCCGACCCACAGCUGUGUCUGACUUCCCACAGGGAACUGAGGGGAGCCUGGGAGAAAGGCACCAGAGAUUCGCCUGACCCUGAGCUUCCAUUCUGGCACAGGCAGCAGGUGCAGGUGUGCUGCCGUGUGGAAGAGCAGCCCGGGAGCGGGGCUCGGGACGGCACCCACUGCCCUUGGGGUGUGCAGAGCUCAGUGUGUGAACGGGGACUGGUCACGGUCAGAAUCUGUGACACAGGCAGAAGCUGUGAACGGGACUGGUGGAGACCACGGACGCCCUCGCCAAGAUGCCAUCGGGAGCAUCACGACCGGAACACGGUUUACGGUGAAGCAAUUUCAGGCUUACAGAGCAGCUGUUUCCGGAAGGCGAGAGCAAUGCAGCCACUAGAAGCCCUCAGUGCUCACGGACACAGAAGGAACCAGAAUCUCACAAAGCCGGACUACUGAG
Oryctolagus cuniculus (rabbit) is the source of this 805-nucleotide non-coding RNA. The record is from RefSeq and is a predicted model, not a curated record. NCBI's taxonomy places the organism in Eukaryota, Metazoa, Chordata, Mammalia, Lagomorpha, Leporidae.